Molecule: long non-coding RNA, 747 nt
Filed under: Phoenix dactylifera (date palm)
Lineage: Eukaryota; Viridiplantae; Streptophyta; Magnoliopsida; Arecales; Arecaceae
Description: long non-coding RNA (PDAC_LNC000635)
Source: RNAcentral
UGGUUUCUUCGUCUUUUCCUUAUUCUUUUUAUAUGUUUUCCCACUAACCAUGAAACAGUGUGUAAACUAUAAAAACGAGUCAAAGUGGAUUGGCCCACACUAGCACUUCCACGUAAUAACUCUACCAAAGGCGAUCCUAUUACAGGAAUAGCUUCAGGUACACCUGUCACGAUUUUGACUGCCCAAUAACCAAUUUGAAUCAAACCGGCUCAACGGGUUCAAAGGGCUUGUCCUUCCGGCCCGCAACAAACACUCGCUCGGAAAAGGGCUGGCUAGUUCUGUCAUCCGAGCUCGAAAGCGUUUGUGUGGAUUUGAAAGCGCAAAUGAAUCCGUUCAUAAACUCUGUUUUUUCGACUUCUUCUACCACUCCGAAAUCCGAUUCGGAUCGGGAGUAAGCACUAGUGAUAGGGCAAAGGGGGGAAGGACAUAGGAAAGAGGGAUGCCUACAUUCAAUCAAUUGAUUCGUCAUGGUAGUUGUAGUGCCUUCCAUUCCUCGAGAAAGAAUCUCUUCCGGGUUUCAUUAGAUUAAAAAACGAUGCUUCCUUGGCCGCCAGCUGGAUACAUCCUACGCAAGGAAGUCAAUAUUGCACACUUGACCGAGUGAAGCAAGUGGUUAUCGUUUGCCUCUCCUCUAAAAUUAUCCCCACAAGGUGUUUUAAGAUAGCGUUUGAUUGUGGUGUAAAAGCAUACCUUGUACAGGGAUAAAUCAAUGCCAUGAAAUAGAGAUAUUUUGAUAUUUAGUUGGAG